AUGAGCGCCAAAUCAGGAAGGCAUAUCAAGCACAACAAAAGAAGGAGUCGAGCUCAAGCUCCAGCCAAGCAGCUGCCAAAAAAACGGGAAAACUAUUCCCCAGCUGGGAGAACAGGCGGUGCAAUCGAUCCCCCGCUCAAUGUACCAACACACAUGAGUACCGGCGCGGCUGAUCAUCUGGUAAUAACCGACGAUUAUAGAAGGCAGUCUGCAGAGAUCGGAUGCACUGUAGAACAACUCCUAGAGCUCGAGCCCAUGAACACUUUUACAGAGCAGGAACUAAAACGGAAAUAUGCCCGUGGCGAACCUUUGGUCAAGCCUGAGGAGGUCAAGAAGCUCUAA
RNAcentral lists this ribosomal RNA (342 nucleotides) under Triticum aestivum (bread wheat). Its description in RNAcentral is "partial small subunit ribosomal RNA". Lineage: Eukaryota; Viridiplantae; Streptophyta; Magnoliopsida; Poales; Poaceae. The record is from RNAcentral.